GGGCGUAUAGCUCAGCUGGUUAGAGCGCGUCGCUGAUAACGACGAGGUCCCAGAUUCGAAUUCUGGUACGCCCAC
Molecule: transfer RNA, 75 nt
Filed under: Roseimaritima ulvae
Lineage: Bacteria; Pseudomonadati; Planctomycetota; Planctomycetia; Pirellulales; Pirellulaceae
Description: tRNA-Ile
Rfam family: tRNA
About the family: Transfer RNA (tRNA) molecules are approximately 80 nucleotides in length.
Source: RNAcentral